Molecule: ribosomal RNA, 482 nt
Filed under: uncultured bacterium
Lineage: Bacteria
Description: partial 16S ribosomal RNA
Rfam family: Bacterial small subunit ribosomal RNA
Source: RNAcentral
AUUGAACGCUGGCGGCAUGCCUUACACAUGCAAGUCGAACGGUAACGGGCCUUCGGGUGCCGACGAGUGGCGAACGGGUGAGUAAUACAUCGGAACGUGCCCGAUCGUGGGGGAUAACGUGGCGAAAGCUUUGCUAAUACCGCAUACGAUCUACGGAUGAAAGCAGGGGACCGCAAGGCCUUGCGCGGACGGAGCGGCCGAUGGCAGAUUAGGUAGUUGGUGGGAUAAAAGCUUACCAAGCCGACGAUCUGGAGCUGGUGUGAGAGGAUGAUGGGCCACAUUGGGACUGAGACACGGACCAGACUCCUACGGGAGGCAGCAGUGGGGAAUUUUAGGCAAUGGGCGGAAGCCUGAUACAGCCAUGCCGCGUGCAGGAUGAAGGCCUUCGGGUUGUAAACUGCUUUUGUACGGAACGAAAAGCCUUCUUUUAAUACAGGAGGGUCAUGACGGUACCGUAAGAAUAAGCACCGGCUAACUACGUG